GCAAGUCGAGCGGACAGAUGGGAGCUUGCUCCCUGAUGUUAGCGGCGGACGGGUGAGUAACACGUGGGUAACCUGCCUGUAAGACUGGGAUAACUCCGGGAAACCGGGGCUAAUACCGGAUGGUUGUUUGAACCGCAUGGUUCAAACAUAAAAGGUGGCUUCGGCUACCACUUACAGAUGGACCCGCGGCGCAUUAGCUAGUUGGUGAGGUAAUGGCUCACCAAGGCAACGAUGCGUAGCCGACCUGAGAGGGUGAUCGGCCACACUGGGACUGAGACACGGCCCAGACUCCUACGGGAGGCAGCAGUAGGGAAUCUUCCGCAAUGGACGAAAGUCUGACGGAGCAACGCCGCGUGAGUGAUGAAGGUUUUCGGAUCGUAAAGCUCUGUUGUUAGGGAAGAACAAGUACCGUUCGAAUAGGGCGGUACCUUGACGGUACCUAACCAGAAAGCCACGGCUAACUACGUGCCAGCAGCCGCGGUAAUACGUAGGUGGCAAGCGUUGUCCGGAAUUAUUGGGCGUAAAGGGCUCGCAGGCGGUUUCUUAAGUCUGAUGUGAAAGCCCCCGGCUCAACCGGGGAGGGUCAUUGGAAACUGGGGAACUUGAGUGCAGAAGAGGAGAGUGGAAUUCCACGUGUAGCGGUGAAAUGCGUAGAGAUGUGGAGGAACACCAGUGGCGAAGGCGACUCUCUGGUCUGUAACUGA
This 704-nucleotide ribosomal RNA is filed under the name Bacillus subtilis. RNAcentral's name for it is "bacterial SSU rRNA". It matches the Rfam family "Bacterial small subunit ribosomal RNA", at positions 57 to 743 of the family's 1533-position model. The record is from RNAcentral. Lineage: Bacteria; Bacillati; Bacillota; Bacilli; Caryophanales; Bacillaceae.